CUUUACUGCAACUUUGCAGUGGCAACAGGGGGGUGCUGUGUAGGAUAGGUGGGAGGCAUUGAAGCCCGGGCGCCAGCUCGUGUGGAGCCAACCUUGAAAUACCACCCUGAACGCUUCUGUUGUCUAACCGCGUCCAGUGAAGCCUGGACCGGGACCCUGCAUGGUGGGCAGUUUGACUGGGGCGGUCGCCUCCCAAAAAGUAACGGAGGCGCGCGAUGGUGGGCUCAGGCUGGUCGGACAUCAGCCCUCGAGUGCAAUGGCAUAAGCCCGCCUGACUGCGAGAGCGACAGCUCGAGCAGAGACGAAAGUCGGCCAUAGUGAUCCGGUGGUCCCUCGUGGACGGGCCAUCGCUCAACGGAUAAAAGGUA
This 368-nucleotide ribosomal RNA is filed under the name uncultured organism. RNAcentral's name for it is "bacterial LSU rRNA". It matches the Rfam family "Bacterial large subunit ribosomal RNA", at positions 2099 to 2465 of the family's 2925-position model. The record is from RNAcentral.